UUUAAUAAAUCAUCAUAAUUUAUUUGUGAGAUUUCUACAUCAGAUUGUGGCUUAAAAGCACUUAUAUUAUGUGUGAUAUGAAGAGAAUGAUGUACAAUCAAUAUAAAUCUUGUUAAAUCUCUCUUCCAUGGACUUUCUCCAUCUUCCUGCUUAGCAAUAAAAGGCAUUUUUAGGUUUAUAUAAACAUUCUUUACAACUGCCCCCUUAACAAAAAAUCACUAUAUAAAUAGCACUAGGCAUUUAGUAAAUAAGUCACAGGCCAGUAAGUUCAAUUGUGCAGUUGUGAAAUGUAAUGUGAAAGAGUUUGAAACCUUAAGACUGAGUGAUCUGCAGCGUUUCCAACAUAUCAGAAGAGCACACGU
Herpailurus yagouaroundi (jaguarundi) is the source of this 362-nucleotide long non-coding RNA. RefSeq lists it as uncharacterized. The transcript has 3 exons. The record is from RefSeq and is a predicted model, not a curated record. NCBI's taxonomy places the organism in Eukaryota, Metazoa, Chordata, Mammalia, Carnivora, Felidae.